GUACCUUUAAAUGAACUCUUGAGCUUAGAUAAGUUACCUCCGUUAUUAAGUCUUAUUUUGCCUCAGGCAAUUCUGGUGCAUUUAGAGUCAAUACCGCCUUCAGUUUUCUCGGAGAAACUGGCCGAGAAGAUCCGAGAGAUGGUAACAGACGAUACUGAAGUUCUAGUGAAGCGGACCUCUGAAGAUGAGAUUCAGAUUCCAAGAGUUGAAAUAUUCAUCCGCAUGCCUCCUAGCAACAUCCUUGCAUCCAUCAAUAACACCAUUGUAAUAGACCCGGAAUUCAAGCUUAUCGAAAACAAAGAAGGAAGUCCAGAUGUGAAUGUCGAAAAUGCUAGCAAUGUUGAAGACUUGGGUCUACCCUCAAGGCAGAAUAAUGAAGCCCCCCCUUCACCUCUUAUUGGAGUUGUGACGCAUCUUGUGAAUACCAACUCAAAAGUUGAUGCCAAGCCCGUCAUCCCCAAAACCUCUUCCGCUCCUGAACAGAGUCAAAAAAAGAGGGACCUUGUCCCAGCUGUUAAGGACACCCCUUCUGAAUCUGGGAAACAUACUGGUUCCAGUCCCUCUGAUUUGCAGCCUUUUGAAUUACCGAAGACAAAGGAUGACACUUUGCAUGUUUAUGUUGUCAAUGUAGCUAAUCCUCACAAUUUUUCGAUUCAGACAGAAGAGUCACGGAAGACAUUGGAGAAUCUUGAAAAAGAAAUGAAUAAUUUUUACACCAAGUACCCACUAAGCAAGAAAAAAGACUUAGAAAUGGGCCAACUUAUGCUGUUCGGAUAGUGAAUGGAAAAUGGCAAAGGUUCACCAUCACUUCAUUUUUGGACACAGCUCAAUGCAUCGGAAGUUUCCCUGACACUGGCGGGCUUCAAAUAGUUCCUGUUCAAGACAUCUUUCCUUUGAUGCCAACUUACAAAAAGGAGCCUAUAAGCCUGCACUAGCAACCAGUGCCAAGUUAUCUGGUGAGUUUAAGAUCCUUUUCUUGACUAAAGCCUUGUCUUGUGGGACAUUUUCAUGAGAUUUGUCGCAGUGUUGAAAAGCGUUAAAGAAACUUCCGCGAUUUUUUGCAGUGAAGUUUUGUUUCAUCCGAUUUUUUUCCUUUCAUCUUGUAGCAAAGCAAUCAUGAAAGACUAAUUGAGUCACUGAGUUUCCAUUUUACCGAAAAAUUUAUUAUACAUUAGACA
RNAcentral lists this long non-coding RNA (1178 nucleotides) under Bemisia tabaci. RNAcentral's name for it is "lncRNA ENSSSA1UGG005679". Lineage: Eukaryota; Metazoa; Arthropoda; Insecta; Hemiptera; Aleyrodidae. The record is from RNAcentral.